GAAAAGACGAUGAAGGUUGUUAUG
This 24-nucleotide non-coding RNA is filed under the name Arabidopsis thaliana (thale cress). The record is from RNAcentral. Lineage: Eukaryota; Viridiplantae; Streptophyta; Magnoliopsida; Brassicales; Brassicaceae.